This 492-nucleotide ribosomal RNA is filed under the name uncultured bacterium. RNAcentral describes it as "partial 16S ribosomal RNA". It matches the Rfam family "Bacterial small subunit ribosomal RNA", at positions 29 to 507 of the family's 1533-position model. The record is from RNAcentral.
AGUGAACGCUGGCGGUAGGCCUAACACAUGCAAGUCGAACGGCAGCACAGUAAGAGCUUGCUCUUACGGGUGGCGAGUGGCGGAAGGGUGAGGAAUACUUCGGAAUCUACUUUUUCGUGGGGGAUAACGUAGGGAAACUUACGCUAAUACCGCAUACGACCUACGGGUGAAAGCAGGGGAUCUUCGGACCUUGCGCUAUGGAAUGAGCCGAUGUCGGAUUAGCUAGUUGGCGGGGUAAAGGCCCACCAAGGCGACGAUCCGUAGCUGGUCUGAGAGGAUGAUCAGCCACACUGGAACUGAGACACGGUCCAGACUCCUACGGGAGGCAGCAGUGGGGAAUAUUGGACAAUGGGCGCAAGCCUGAUCCAGCCAUACCGCGUGGGUGAAGAAGGCCUUCGGGUUGUAAAGCCCUUUUGUUGGGAAAGAAAAGCAGCAGGUUAAUACCCCGCUGUUCUGACGGUACCCAAAGAAUAAGCACCGGCUAACUUCGUG